GGGCUCGUGGCUUAGCCAGGAUAUAGCGCUGGGCUUCUAACCCAGACGUCGGGGGUUCAAAUCCCUUCGAGCCCGC
This 76-nucleotide transfer RNA is filed under the name Methanosarcina mazei. RNAcentral describes it as "tRNA-Arg". It matches the Rfam family "tRNA". From Rfam's summary of the family: Transfer RNA (tRNA) molecules are approximately 80 nucleotides in length. Their secondary structure includes four short double-helical elements and three loops (D, anti-codon, and T loops). Lineage: Archaea; Methanobacteriati; Methanobacteriota; Methanomicrobia; Methanosarcinales; Methanosarcinaceae. RNAcentral also lists the same sequence under 3 other names. The record is from RNAcentral.